CAACCCUUGACAUCCUCAGCUACAUCCAGAGAUGGAUGGUUCCCUUCGGGGACUGAGUGACAGGUGCUGCAUGGCUGUCGUCAGCUCGUGUCGUGAGAUGUUCGGUUAAGUCCGGCAACGAGCGCAACCCACAUCCUUAGUUGCCAGCAGUUCGGCUGGGCACUCUAGGGAAACUGCCCGUGAUAAGCGGGAGGAAGGUGUGGAUGACGUCAAGUCCUCAUGGCCCUUACGGGUUGGGCUACACACGUGCUACAAUGGCAUCUACAGUGGGUUAAUCCCAAAAAGAUGUCUCAGUUCGGAUUGUCGUCUGCAACUCGACGGCAUGAAGUCGGAAUCGCUAGUAAUCGCGUAACAGCAUGACGMGGWGAAUACGUUCCC
Molecule: ribosomal RNA, 378 nt
Filed under: Salipiger bermudensis HTCC2601
Lineage: Bacteria; Pseudomonadati; Pseudomonadota; Alphaproteobacteria; Rhodobacterales; Roseobacteraceae
Description: bacterial SSU rRNA
Rfam family: Bacterial small subunit ribosomal RNA
Source: RNAcentral